AAAGGUAAGCUACGAAGAGCGAAUGGUGGAUGCCUUGACUGGUAAAGGCGAUGAAGGACGUACUAGACUGCGAUAAGCUACGGGGAGCUGUCAAGAAGCUUUGAUCCGUAGAUUUCCGAAUGGGGCAACCCAAUGUAUAGAGAUAUACAUUACCUAUAGUAGGAGCGAACGAGGGGAAUUGAAACAUCUUAGUACCCUCAGGAAAAGAAAUCAAUAGAGAUUGCGUCAGUAGCGGCGA
RNAcentral lists this ribosomal RNA (238 nucleotides) under Campylobacter jejuni. RNAcentral's name for it is "partial 23S ribosomal RNA". It matches the Rfam family "Bacterial large subunit ribosomal RNA", at positions 1 to 252 of the family's 2925-position model. Lineage: Bacteria; Pseudomonadati; Campylobacterota; Epsilonproteobacteria; Campylobacterales; Campylobacteraceae. The record is from RNAcentral.